This 253-nucleotide ribosomal RNA is filed under the name uncultured bacterium. RNAcentral describes it as "partial 16S ribosomal RNA". It matches the Rfam family "Bacterial small subunit ribosomal RNA", at positions 524 to 776 of the family's 1533-position model. The record is from RNAcentral.
UACGUAGGGUGCAAGCGUUGUCCGGAAUUAUUGGGCGUAAAGAGCUCGUAGGCGGUCUGUCGCGUCUGCUGUGAAAACUCGGGGCUUAACCCCGGGCCUGCAGUGGGUACGGGCAGACUAGAGUGCGGUAGGGGAGACUGGAAUUCCUGGUGUAGCGGUGAAAUGCGCAGAUAUCAGGAGGAACACCGGUGGCGAAGGCGGGUCUCUGGACCGUAACUGACGCUGAGGAGCGAAAGCGUGGGGAGCGAACAGG